This 405-nucleotide ribosomal RNA is filed under the name uncultured bacterium. Its description in RNAcentral is "bacterial SSU rRNA". It matches the Rfam family "Bacterial small subunit ribosomal RNA", at positions 355 to 776 of the family's 1533-position model. The record is from RNAcentral.
UAGGGAAUCUUGCGCAAUGGGCGAAAGCCUGACGCAGCAACGCCGCGUGCAGGAGGAAGGCCUUCGGGUCGUAAACUGCUUUUAUAUGUGACGAUUAUGACGGUAGCAUAUGAAUAAGGAUCGGCUAACUCCGUGCCAGCAGCCGCGGUCAAACGGAGGAUCCGAGCGUUAUCCGGAAUUACUUGGCGUAAAGAGUUGCGUAGGUGGCAAGGUAAGCAAAGUGUGAAAUCUCAUGGCUCAACCAUGAGUCUAUGCUUUGAACUGCCUAGCUAGAGUGCGGGAGAGGUAGCUGGAAUUGCUAGUGUAGGAGUGAAAUCCGUUGAUAUUAGCAGGAACACCGAUGGCGUAGGCAGGCUACUAGCCCGUUACUGACACUAAGGCACGAAAGCGUGGGGAGCGAACGGG